Molecule: unclassified non-coding RNA, 240 nt
Filed under: Hevea brasiliensis (rubber tree)
Lineage: Eukaryota; Viridiplantae; Streptophyta; Magnoliopsida; Malpighiales; Euphorbiaceae
Source: RNAcentral
CAGUUAAAACUAGGAGUGAAUGCAAGGGUCAAAAGGAAACAAGCUAUAGUCCAAUUAGUGUUUCCACUCAACUUCAACCUUAUGAUCACCAAAGUGGGUUUAAUAAUUUUGCUCUGAGUUCAAUACGGAUUGGGACGCAAUUACGUCCUAUUUAUGGAAGGAAACAUGGCAAUAGAAAACAAUCUGCUUCUAUUAUGUGUUCUGCUGCUUUGAAUGCAAGAUGCUCUGCUUCAGGCCAAA